GUCGAGAAUCUUCCGCAAUGCGCGAAAGCGUGACGGAGCGACGCCGCGUGAUGGAUGAAGUCCUUCGGGGCGUAAACAUCUUUUAUAAAGGAGGAAAUUUUUGACGUUACUUUAUGAAUAAGGGGCUCCCAAUCUCGUGCCAGCAGGAGCGGUAAUACGAGAGCCUCAAGCGUUAUCCGGAAUCAUUGGGCGUAAAGGGUGCGUAGGUGGUUUGAUUAGUCUCCCGUUAAAACUUCGAGCUUAACUCGAAAAGAGCGGGGGAAACGGUCAAACUAGAGUAUGUGAGAGGUGAGUGGAACUCAUGGUGUAGGGGUGAAAUCCGUUGAUAUCAUGGGGAACACCAAAAGCGAAGGCAGAACACUGGCACAUCACUGACACUGAGGCACGAAACCUAAGGUAGCGAAUGGGAUUAGAAACCCUUGUAGUCC
RNAcentral lists this ribosomal RNA (428 nucleotides) under uncultured bacterium. Its description in RNAcentral is "bacterial SSU rRNA". It matches the Rfam family "Bacterial small subunit ribosomal RNA", at positions 354 to 796 of the family's 1533-position model. The record is from RNAcentral.